Molecule: ribosomal RNA, 721 nt
Filed under: Acinetobacter baumannii OIFC083
Lineage: Bacteria; Pseudomonadati; Pseudomonadota; Gammaproteobacteria; Moraxellales; Moraxellaceae
Description: bacterial SSU rRNA
Rfam family: Bacterial small subunit ribosomal RNA
Source: RNAcentral
AUUGAACGCUGGCGGCAGGCUUAACACAUGCAAGUCGAGCGGGGGAAGGUAGCUUGCUACCGGACCUAGCGGCGGACGGGUGAGUAAUGCUUAGGAAUCUGCCUAUUAGUGGGGGACAACAUCUCGAAAGGGAUGCUAAUACCGCAUACGUCCUACGGGAGAAAGCAGGGGAUCUUCGGACCUUGCGCUAAUAGAUGAGCCUAAGUCGGAUUAGCUAGUUGGUGGGGUAAAGGCCUACCAAGGCGACGAUCUGUAGCGGGUCUGAGAGGAUGGUCCGCCACACUGGGACUGAGACACGGCCCAGACUCCUACGGGAGGCAGCAGUGGGGAAUAUUGGACAAUGGGGGGAACCCUGAUCCAGCCAUGCCGCGUGUGUGAAGAAGGCCUUAUGGUUGUAAAGCACUUUAAGCGAGGAGGAGGCUACUUUAGUUAAUACCUAGAGAUAGUGGACGUUACUCGCAGAAUAAGCACCGGCUAACUCUGUGCCAGCAGCCGCGGUAAUACAGAGGGUGCGAGCGUUAAUCGGAUUUACUGGGCGUAAAGCGUGCGUAGGCGGCUUAUUAAGUCGGAUGUGAAAUCCCCGAGCUUAACUUGGGAAUUGCAUUCGAUACUGGUGAGCUAGAGUAUGGGAGAGGAUGGUAGAAUUCCAGGUGUAGCGGUGAAAUGCGUAGAGAUCUGGAGGAUACCGAUGGCGAGGCAGCCAUCUGGCCUAUACUGACGC